This 734-nucleotide ribosomal RNA is filed under the name uncultured bacterium. Its description in RNAcentral is "bacterial SSU rRNA". It matches the Rfam family "Archaeal small subunit ribosomal RNA", at positions 567 to 1303 of the family's 1478-position model. The record is from RNAcentral.
GAGAAAGUCUGAAGAGACUGCAAGACUUGAGAUCGGGUGAGGUUAAACGUACUUUCAGGGUAGGGGUAAAAUCCUGUAAUCCCGGAAGGACGACCAGUGGCGAAAGCGUUUAACUAGAACGAAUCUGACGGUAAGGAACGAAGGCUAGGGUAGCAAACCGGAUUAGAUACCCGGGUAGUCCUAGCUGUAAACAUUGCCCAUUUGAUGUUGCUUUUCCGUUGAGGGAAGGCAGUGUCGGAGCGAAGGUGUUAAAUGGGCCGCUUGGGAAGUAUGGUCGCAAGACUGAAACUUAAAGGAAUUGGCGGGGGAGCACCGCAACGGGAGGAAUGUGCGGUUUAAUUGGAUUCAACGCCGGAAAACUCACCGGGAACGACCUGUGCAUGAGAGUCAACCUGACGAGCUUACUCGAUAGCAGGAGAGGUGGUGCAUGGCCGUCGUCAGCUCGUACCGUAGGGCGUUCACUUAAGUGUGAUAACGAGCGAGACCCACAUCUUUAAUUGCAAAUGUAUAUGAGAAUAUGCAUGCACUUUAGAGAAACCGCCAGCGCUAAGCUGGAGGAAGGAGUGGUCGACGGCAGGUCAGUACGCCCCGAAUUUCCCGGGCUACACGCGCAUUACAAAGAACGGGACAAUACGUUGCAACCUCGAAAGAGGAAGCUAAUCGCGAAACCCGUCCAUAGUUAGGAUUGAGGGCUGUAACUCGCCCUCAUGAUCUGGAUUCCGUAGUAAUCGCAG